RNAcentral lists this ribosomal RNA (229 nucleotides) under uncultured bacterium. RNAcentral describes it as "partial 16S ribosomal RNA". It matches the Rfam family "Bacterial small subunit ribosomal RNA", at positions 568 to 796 of the family's 1533-position model. The record is from RNAcentral.
CUCGUAGGCGGCCUGCCAAGUCCCACGUGAAAGACCAGGGCUCAACCCUGGGAACGCGCAGGAAACUGGCAAGCUGGAAUCUUGGAGGGGGUACUGGAAUUCCUGGUGUAGGGGUGAAAUCUGUUGAUAUCAGGAAGAACACCGGAGGCGAAGGCGAGUACCUGGCCAAAGAUUGACGCUGAUGAGCGAAAGCGUAGGGAGCGAACAGGAUUAGAUACCCUGGUAGUCC